This 253-nucleotide ribosomal RNA is filed under the name uncultured bacterium. RNAcentral's name for it is "partial 16S ribosomal RNA". It matches the Rfam family "Bacterial small subunit ribosomal RNA", at positions 524 to 776 of the family's 1533-position model. The record is from RNAcentral.
UACAGAGGGUGCAAACGUUGUUCGGAAUUACUGGGCGUAAAGCGCGUGUAGGCGGCUCUGCAAGUCGGAUGUGAAAUCCCACGGCUCAACCAUGGAAGUGCAUUCGAAACUGCAGGGCUAGAGUCCUGGAGAGGAAGGUGGAAUGCUUGGUGUAGAGGUGAAAUUCGUAGAUAUCAAGCGGAACACCGGUGGCGAAGGCGGCCUUCUGGACAGUGACUGACGCUGAGACGCGAAAGCGUGGGGAGCAAACAGG